This 63-nucleotide transfer RNA is filed under the name Dermacentor nuttalli. RNAcentral describes it as "tRNA-Leu". Lineage: Eukaryota; Metazoa; Arthropoda; Arachnida; Ixodida; Ixodidae. The record is from RNAcentral.
AUUAAAGUGGCAGAAAAAAAUGCCAGGAAUUUAAGCUUCCUUAAUGAAAAAUUUCCUUUAAUA